CAGGCUUAACACAUGCAAGUCGAGGGGCAGCAUGGUCUUAGCUUGCUAAGGCCGAUGGCGACCGGCGCACGGGUGAGUAACACGUAUCCAACCUGCCGUCUACUCUUGGACAGCCUUCUGAAAGGAAGAUUAAUACAAGAUGGCAUCAUGAGUCCACAUGUUCACAUGAUUAAAGGUAUUCCGGUAGACGAUGGGGAUGCGUUCCAUUAGAUAGUAGGCGGGGUAACGGCCCACCUAGUCUUCGAUGGAUAGGGGUUCUGAGAGGAAGGUCCCCCACAUUGGAACUGAGACACGGUCCAAACUCCUACGGGAGGCAGCAGUGAGGAAUAUUGGUCAAUGGGCGCAGGCCUGAACCAGCCAAGUAGCGUGAAGGAUGACUGCCCUAUGGGUUGUAAACUUCUUUUAUAAAGGAAUAAAGUCGGGUAUGCAUACCCGUUUGCAUGUACUUUAUGAAUAAGGAUCGGCUAACUCCGUGCCAGCAGCCGCGGUAAUACGGAGGAUCCGAGCGUUAUCCGGAUUUAUUGGGUUUAAAGGGAGCGUAGAUGGAUGUUUAAGUCAGUUGUGAAAGUUUGCGGCUCAACCGUAAAAUUGCAGUUGAUACUGGAUAUCUUGAGUGCAGUUGAGGCAGGCGGAAUUCGUGGUGUAGCGGUGAAAUGCUUAGAUAUCACGAAGAACUCCGAUUGCGAAGGCAGCCUGCUAAGCUGCAACUGACAUUGAGGCUCGAAAGUGUGGGUAUCAAACAGGAUUAGAUACCCUGGUAGUCCACACGGUAAACGAUGAAUACUCGCUGUUUGCGAUAUACAGCAAGCGGCCAAGCGAAAGCGUUAAGUAUUCCACCUGGGGAGUACGCCGGCAACGGUGAAACUCAAAGGAAUUGACGGGGGCCCGCACAAGCGGAGGAACAUGUGGUUUAAUUCGAUGAUACGCGAGGAACCUUACCCGGGCUUAAAUUGCAGAUGAAUUACGGUGAAAGCCGUAAGCCGCAAGGCAUCUGUGAAGGUGCUGCAUGGUUGUCGUCAGCUCGUGCCGUGAGGUGUCGGCUUAAGUGCCAUAACGAGCGCAACCCUUGUUGUCAGUUACUAACAGGUUCCGCUGAGGACUCUGACAAGACUGCCAUCGUAAGAUGUGAGGAAGGUGGGGAUGACGUCAAAUCAGCACGGCCCUUACGUCCGGGGCUACACACGUGUUACAAUGGGGGGUACAGAGGGCCGCUACCACGCGAGUGGAUGCCAAUCCCAAAAACCUCUCUCAGUUCGGACUGGAGUCUGCAACCCGACUCCACGAAGCUGGAUUCGCUAGUAAUCGCGCAUCAGCCACGGCGCGGUGAAUACGUUCCCGGGCCUUGUACACACCGCCCGUCAAGCCAUGGGAGCCGGGGGGUACCUGAAGUGCGUAACCGCGAGGAGCGCCCUAGGGUAAAACUGGUGACUGGGGCUAAGUCAUAACA
RNAcentral lists this ribosomal RNA (1447 nucleotides) under uncultured organism. RNAcentral describes it as "16S ribosomal RNA". It matches the Rfam family "Bacterial small subunit ribosomal RNA". The record is from RNAcentral.